UACAGAGGUCCCAAGCGUUGUUCGGAUUCACUGGGCGUAAAGGGUGCGUAGGUGGCGGGGAAAGUUUGAUGUGAAAUCUCCGGGCUUAACCCGGAAAUGGCAUUGAAUACUAUUCCGCUUGGAGGGUUGGAGGGGGGACUGGAAUUCUCGGUGUAGCAGUGAAAUGCGUAGAUAUGACAUAGAACACCGAUAGCGAAGGCAGCUUGCUACACAAUCAUUGACACUGAGGCACGAAAGCGUGGGGAUCAAACAGG
RNAcentral lists this ribosomal RNA (254 nucleotides) under uncultured bacterium. RNAcentral describes it as "partial 16S ribosomal RNA". It matches the Rfam family "Bacterial small subunit ribosomal RNA", at positions 524 to 776 of the family's 1533-position model. The record is from RNAcentral.